This 253-nucleotide ribosomal RNA is filed under the name uncultured bacterium. Its description in RNAcentral is "partial 16S ribosomal RNA". It matches the Rfam family "Bacterial small subunit ribosomal RNA", at positions 524 to 776 of the family's 1533-position model. The record is from RNAcentral.
UACGUAGGGGGCAAGCGUUGUCCGGAAUCAUUGGGCGUAAAGCGCGCGUAGGUGGCCCCAUAAGUCCGCUGUGAAAGUCAAAGGCUCAACCUUUGAAAGCCGGUGGAUACUGUGGGACUAGAGUACGGAGAAGGCGAGUGGAAUUCCUGGUGUAGCGGUGGAAUGCGCAGAUAUCAAGAGGAACACCAAUAGCGAAGGCAGCUCGCUGGGACGUUACUGACACUGAGGCGCGAAAGCGUGGGGAGCGAACAGG